RNAcentral lists this long non-coding RNA (1736 nucleotides) under Homo sapiens (human). Its description in RNAcentral is "ARL14EP divergent transcript, transcript variant 1 (ARL14EP-DT)". The record is from RNAcentral. Lineage: Eukaryota; Metazoa; Chordata; Mammalia; Primates; Hominidae.
AGAUGCUGUCUUUUGCAGUCCUCCGAGAGCCUUCUCCGCUGGUGGUAUACUUACGAGGACCAGAGGUGAGGUGUCAGCAAGGAGGCCCACAGGUGGAAAGUGCUUUGGGCCAAUGGUACACACCUGCUUUAUUGGAUAGACGCAGAGAAGUAUGCCUGGUCACAGCCAGAGCUUACUCGGUCAAGAAAUUAUGAGCUCCCCAGAAGUCUCUUGUAUGCUGUCUCCUAGUUGUGAGCACCUUUUACCAAAGAUGGUCUGAGAGUACCUGUGCUGAAAUGGAAUUGUCUUUGAGUGGACACUUCUUAGAUGAGACCUAUUGUGGCCAAUAGCUCCUGAGGAACUGAAGCCUUCAGUUCAAAACUUGUGUGAGAAAAAUGAAUCUUGCCAACUACUGGAGUGAGCUUAGAAAUGAAUCCAUCCCCAGUUGACCCUUGAAUGUAGCCUUGUCAGAGACCCAGAGACAAAGCAUCCUGCUAAUCUGCACUGGGUUCUAGGCCCACAGAAACCAUGGGAUAAUAACUUUGUGUUGCUAUAAGCCACUGAAAACAAACAAAUAAAAUACUUAAGAUGUUCCCCUGUGGAAGGGUUCCAUUGCCAGGGAUCUGCACUUCACAACCAAAGGGAUUAAAGAGAAUUGCCUUCUUCAGAUUUCAGACUGUGGCCUGCUUCUGGUUUUUCUUUCUAUAUUCAUAUAUAUGUUUGUUUAAAUCAUCCUACUUUUGGAGCAGGAAAAGUUACUAUUACAGUUUAUACAAAGGGAAGAAAUCUGGUACAUGCUAAAGUUAUUCAUCUGUAACUACCUGACGAGCCCAAUUAGUUGCUUGCUCCUAUGGAUUCUGAGCCUAAAAUCCCUUCAACAGAUCUUUGACCUUUUCUAAGUUAAGUUUUUGGAAGUAUCCUAUUUGUUCACUUACUUGGGCCAGAGACUAUAGAGAUUAAGAGAAAGUUUGAUAUUUGACCCUAAUUUUAGGCUAAAACAAUUUAGAUGGAAAGAACAGACACAAUUCAAUUUAACCAUCUUCAACUGCUGUGCUUUAGAAAGCUGGGAGUGUGGAGAAUGGAGUAGGUGUACAGAAAAAUAAGAACAGUUCUGUUCUUCAGGGCUUGAUAAAGGCUGCUGUGAGUUGGAUGGACAAUAAUUACUACUGACUAGGUCUAGCUGGGAUAGUUAGGGGAGACUUUCUGAAAGAGGCAACACAUGAGCUGGGUUCUAAAUCUCAAAUAGGAUUUGAUGGCUGAAGAUGAGGGUAAUAAAACAAGAGAAACAAGUACAUUCCAGAUAGAAAGAAUAGUAUAAGCCAAGAAAAACCUAUUCCAGGGCAGCAGGGAAGAGUCUGAAGUGGCAAAACAAAGUAGGAGGCAAAGCUGUCAAUAUAAGUAACUUGGUAGAGAAACAUUAGGAGUUUGGAUUUUAUCCCAUUGACUAGGAGGAUUUAAAAACAGAAAAUGCUCACAGGGGCCAGGCAAGUUAUGAGUAAAUAAAAGGUCCAGGUGUAAGUGCAACAGGGCCCAUGGACAUAGGAAUGGGGGAUGUGAAAAACCAACCUUUGCUAACAGUGAGUUCUACUAUGCAGUUUUAGCUGAUUAUAGCCAGACUCGAAAGCAACCUUUGUAGGGUUGACAGUUCUUGUGAUUGUUCAAGAAAAAAAUUUAUGUAAAAUCUACUGACUUGAAAAUACUAGAUUAAUUUAUUUAAUGUUAUAGAGCUCAAAUAAAACACAUUUGUCUUAUUUAUA